Molecule: long non-coding RNA, 1426 nt
Filed under: Equus caballus (horse)
Lineage: Eukaryota; Metazoa; Chordata; Mammalia; Perissodactyla; Equidae
Description: lncRNA (ENSECAG00000052052.1)
Source: RNAcentral
AGGCGGCCUCCAGGCCUUGCGAAGGGGCUUUGUUCCCGAAGCGGAGGGCCUGGCUUACCGAGCAGCGCAUCCGGAGGCGGGCGGGGGGCGCGCGGGGCACGCAGCAGAACCACAGCCUGGCCCGGACCCGGGGCGCCUGAGCCGGAGAAAGGCGAGGAGGAGGAAGAGAAAUAGGCUGCCGCCAGCUCCUGCCUCAUUCUCCCGGGCAGCGCCGACCCGCUGGCUGCCGCCGGCUGGGGCUGGCCGCCGGGCGCCGAACCCCGUACGCGCGGCUCAUGUCCCCGUCCGCCGCUGGAGAAGUGUACGCGCAGCCGGCUCGUCUCCGGGCGGCGCCCCGGGGCUCCUCAUGCCCCGAGCCCGGGCUCGGCGGGAGGACCUCGGGGAGGCAGCGCGGAGGGAAAGAGAGAAAGAGAGAGCUGUUUUGCAGUUUUCCAAGCCUUUGGCACCCCAUAUUUCACUGGCCCUUGUCACAUACAUGAGAGUUUGGUCGGGAUGAUUCCUCAGCCUCAAAGCUGAUAGCUGGCAGACCCCACGACUUGAACCUGGGGCUUCCUCCUGGGUCGUCUCGUCCUGAUAAGUCUGGAUAAUUUUGUAUGGCUCUUUAUGGUUUGCCAAGGACGUCCGCCUCCCUGAGUCCACUUCUCCUGACUGUGUCAGCAUCUCCAGCUUCAAAGAAAGAAAAUGCCAGGCCAGGAAGGGGCAACACCUACCCGGCAGAGCCUCUGGUCUGCAGGGGGCCUGGAGGGUGGCUCAUGGGGCUCAUCCAGACAGGCUGGGCCUCCGGGGUGAGCAGCAGUUUGAACCAGGUGUGUUCGUGCUAACAGGACGGCCCAGGUAAGGAGAGGGCUUGUGUGGGGGUGACAUAAAGGACAGGUAAAAGGAAGAGGACUCAAACACUGCUUUCUGUGGGAAAGGGGGCUUUAGGGUCUGAAAUCUUCCUUUGUGACACCCAUAUUAAAGUGGUUAUCAGAAUAAAAUGACCCAACCAACCAAGCUCAGGAAGCAGGAAGAGACUUGGACUCAAGACAACUGAGGAGAGAUGAGAAAAGAAAACAGGUCCCUGAAAGAGGGGGUCAUCAACUUCAAACAUCUGGAGGGUUUUCUGACAGGAGAGGGUUUGACAAGCUUUGAUGUGUGGCCCCAAAGGGUAAACUAGGCCACCAGGGAGACGGUGGUUUUCUUCAGGAUUUGGAAGAGUGACACUUAGAGCAAUGAUUGGUGAAUUACAAUUCAUGGGCCAAAUCUGGCCCGCUGACUACUUCUGUAAAUAAAGUUUUGUUGGACCACAGGCUGCCCAUUCAUUUAUGUAUUGUCUGUGGUGCUUUCCUGCUGCCUGAGCAGAGUUGAAUUUUUGCUACAGAGACUGCGUGGGCCACUAAGCCUAUAAUAUUUAGUAUCUGGCUCUUUGCAGAUACUAAACAGUUUG